GAUGAACGCUGGCGGCGUGCCUAAUACAUGCAAGUCGAGCGAACGGACGAGAAGCUUGCUUCUCUGAUGUUAGCGGCGGACGGGUGAGUAACACGUGGAUAACCUACCUAUAAGACUGGGAUAACUUCGGGAAACCGGAGCUAAUACCGGAUAAUAUUUUGAACCGCAUGGUUCAAAAGUGAAAGACGGUCUUGCUGUCACUUAUAGAUGGAUCCGCGCUGCAUUAGCUAGUUGGUAAGGUAACGGCUUACCAAGGCAACGAUGCAUAGCCGACCUGAGAGGGUGAUCGGCCACACUGGAACUGAGACACGGUCCAGACUCCUACGGGAGGCAGCAGUAGGGAAUCUUCCGCAAUGGGCGAAAGCCUGACGGAGCAACGCCGCGUGAGUGAUGAAGGUCUUCGGAUCGUAAAACUCUGUUAUUAGGGAAGAACAUAUGUGUAAGUAACUGUGCACAUCUUGACGGUACCUAAUCAGAAAGCCACGGCUAACUACGUGCCAGCAGCCGCGGUAAUACGUAGGUGGCAAGCGUUAUCCGGAAUUAUUGGGCGUAAAGCGCGCGUAGGCGGUUUUUUAAGUCUGAUGUGAAAGCCCACGGCUCAACCGUGGAGGGUCAUUGGAAACUGGAAAACUUGAGUGCAGAAGAGGAAAGUGGAAUUCCAUGUGUAGCGGUGAAAUGCGCAGAGAUAUGGAGGAACACCAGUGGCGAAGGCGACUUUCUGGUCUGUAACUGACGCUGAUGUGCGAAAGCGUGGGGAUCAAACAGGAUUAGAUACCCUGGUAGUCCACGCCGUAAACGAUGAGUGCUAAGUGUUAGGGGGUUUCCGCCCCUUAGUGCUGCAGCUAACGCAUUAAGCACUCCGCCUGGGGAGUACGACCGCAAGGUUGAAACUCAAAGGAAUUGACGGGGACCCGCACAAGCGGUGGAGCAUGUGGUUUAAUUCGAAGCAACGCGAAGAACCUUACCAAAUCUUGACAUCCUUUGACAACUCUAGAGAUAGAGCUUUCCCCUUCGGGGGACAAAGUGACAGGUGGUGCAUGGUUGUCGUCAGCUCGUGUCGUGAGAUGUUGGGUUAAGUCCCGCAACGAGCGCAACCCUUAAGCUUAGUUGCCAUCAUUAAGUUGGGCACUCUAAGUUGACUGCCGGUGACAAACCGGAGGAAGGUGGGGAUGACGUCAAAUCAUCAUGCCCCUUAUGAUUUGGGCCACACACGUGCUACAAUGGACAAUACAAAGGGCAGCGAAACCGCGAGGUCAAGCAAAUCCCAUAAAGUUGUUCUCAGUUCGGAUUGUAGUCUGCAACUCGACUACAUGAAGCUGGAAUCGCUAGUAAUCGUAGAUCAGCAUGCUACGGUGAAUACGUUCCCGGGUCU
This 1372-nucleotide ribosomal RNA is filed under the name uncultured bacterium. RNAcentral describes it as "bacterial SSU rRNA". It matches the Rfam family "Bacterial small subunit ribosomal RNA", at positions 28 to 1381 of the family's 1533-position model. The record is from RNAcentral.